AGAGUUUGAUCAUGGCUCAGAGCGAACGCUGGCGGCAGGCCUAACACAUGCAAGUCGAACGGGCCCCUUCGGGGGUCAGUGGCAGACGGGUGAGUAACGCGUGGGAACGUGCCCAUCGGUUCGGGAUAACCCAGGGAAACUUGGGCUAAUACCGGAUACGCCCUUUUGGGGAAAGAUUCAUUGCCGAUGGAUCGGCCCGCGUCUGAUUAGCUAGUUGGCGAGGUAACGGCUCACCAAGGCUACGAUCUGUAUCCGGUCUUAGAGGACGGUCGGACACACUGACACUGAAUAACGGGUCAGACUCCUACGGGAGGCAGCAGUCGGGAAUUUUGGGCAAUGGGCGAAAGCCUGACCCAGCAACGCCGCGUGAAGGAUGAAGUAUCUCGGUAUGUAAACUUCGGAAGAAUGGAAAGAAUAAAUGACGGUACCAUUUUUAAGCCCCGGCUAACUCCGUGCCAGCAGCCGCGGUAAUACGGGGGGGGCAAGCGUUGUUCGGAUUUACUGGGCGUAAAGGGCGCGUAGGCGGCGUGACAAGUCACUUGUGAAAUCUCCGGGCUUAACUCGGAAUGGUCAAGUGAUACUGUCGUGCUAGAGUGCAGAAGGGGCAAUCGGAAUUCUUGGUGUAGCGGUGAAAUGCGUAGAUAUCAAGAGGAACACCAGAGGCGAAGGCGGAUUGCUGGGCUGACACUGACGCUGAGGCGUGAAAGCUAGGGUAGCAAACGGGAUUAGAUACCCCAGUAGUCC
This 744-nucleotide ribosomal RNA is filed under the name uncultured Acidobacteriota bacterium. Its description in RNAcentral is "bacterial SSU rRNA". It matches the Rfam family "Bacterial small subunit ribosomal RNA", at positions 8 to 796 of the family's 1533-position model. The record is from RNAcentral. Lineage: Bacteria; Pseudomonadati; Acidobacteriota.